UCCGGCCGGGGGCGCCGCGGGCCCGGGCGCCCCCUCAUUCUCUUCGGUGUCGCGGCGGCCGCCCCGCCGGCCGGAGCUGGGGAGCGGCGGGGGAGGGGAGGGAAGGGGAGCGGUGGGUGUUGGGUUUCGGGCGGUGAGUCACGGCCCCCUCCCGCCGCGUGCGCACCCCCCCCUCCCGCCCCGGGGGCCCCGGGAUGGCUGGCCGGCCGCCGGGGGAUGGGCCUCGACCCGGAGAACCCCAAAAGGAGCGCUUGGAUCCCGGGCCUUCAUUCCCUCCCCGAAGAUCGGAGGAAGGCAGACUCCGAGGCGGAACCUGGGGCCUCCCGUCACCAUCCAGGCCCGAGAGAGGAGGAGAGCUGGGGACGUGGAAGGGACCGUGCAGAGCUGGGCGCCCACCCUGCCCGCCGAGGCCGCCCUCAGAGGUGGGCGAGCCUGGGACCUCGCAUGGAGCAGGGCCCACGGCCUGCAGAGCGGGAGGCCACUGGCCGGCCUCUAGGCCCCUCCGGCCUCGGAAUUUAUCCUGAAACUGGAAGGACCAGAUCCCGGAGGUGGGAACAGCGACCUCACACCCCAAGCUGGGAGUCUGGCAGGGAGGGAAGGCCUCCGACCACAGCCAAGCCAGCUGCAGCCUCCUCCAUCCCCCUUCUUAAAGGGGCAAAGGAAAAGAAGGAAGCCGACCAGAGAGAAAGAGGCCUCAGGGAAAUGUUUAAAAUGGUGCAGCAGCACACCAGACUGGUGAUAGGAAGGGUGAGGCAGGAGGACUGUCUGGUGCGACCUGCAGCUCGCAGGGUGGUUCUGUACUUUUUUUUUCACCCCGUGAGCCGGGCUGGACCUCCUGGGCAGCUCUCUGGUUCAUCCCUCCUGCAUUCCUGCUGUCUUCACACCCGUCUACCCGCUGGACUCCCGCAAUAGCAUGUCCUCUGCGAGAGCCCCCUCCGUGCUGCCAGAGUCACGGCCUAAAACAAGGCAGGCAGCCCAUCCUCCAGGCCUGCCCCUCUGCCACGUCCAGUGCUUGGUAUUAUCUGUCCACGCUUCUCCUCCAGUGCGGCUCCACAUGACCCCUCUGUCCCUUCCUGCCUUCCCCGGGAGCACGCUGGUUAUUGCAUAAGACAAACACAAAGGCCAUGUUUACUUCAUCUUACUUCAUCCCUAUUCUGUCCUCCACACUUGCAGCGCCCCCAUCCUGAGACUGUGUUCUGCUUUCAGACCAAGUCUGUAGACAGCGGGCAUGUAUUAAUAGAAUAAAGUGUCAGAAUGAGUAACGGGAAGGGUUGAGCCAGGAUCCCAGGGACUAGGACUCGGGACCUUGGCCAAAUGACUUCACCUCUCCAGGCCUCAGUUUCCUCUUCUUAAAAUAUGGAUUACCCACCUGUUUGACAGGUACUCAGACUAUUAUGUCUGCUGUGGUCAUUAAAACCGUUCCCCAGCUCUCUUCUGGUUCUUUCCCCUCCUGGGGAUGUGGUAGGAACUCACUACCCCAAUCUCUUGAAAUGAGAUGUGGGCCCAUAUGCCUUGCUUUUAGGGCAAUGGAAUGAGAGCACUGUUUUCGUGUAGAAACUUUUCAGAUCCAGUGGGCAAGUCCUGUCUUUUGACAAUUCUGAAAGUACAGUCUUGGCGAUCCUAUCUUGACAGCGGUGGGAGUACCGAGAUGGAGCCUCCCCCAGCCAGCCUGGGUCUCUGUAAAGAUGGCAAAGCAGUCCCAGGGAACCUGUGUUGGGAAAGUAGUGUGAGUGGGAUUUCUGGAGCUAAGGGGGUGUUACAGGAGCAUAACCCAGCUUAUUCUAGCAAAUAGUUUGCUCCCAAGUGCCUGGGACAUCAUCCGUAUUUGUUGAAUGACUAACUCCUACCACAGGCUGGUACCAUUCACGACAGUAAGCCCUUCAGGGUGGUGGUUGUAAAUCGGUAUUUUCCAUUGAGGAAACCACAUCAGAACACUUAAGCCAUUUGCCUGAGAUUUCACAGGUUGUAAAAAAGCAGCACCUGGAUUUCAACCCUACCUGUCCAGUCCCAAGCCUUGUGCUCUUCCUCUUCCACGGAUGCUGUGCUGCCUCCCCUUAAAUGGGCGGGAUGGAAACCCCCAGUACAAUGCCUGGCACACAGUCCUACCCGAGCACUGGGAGUUCCUCUCCAGACUGAAUUCCUAUAGCAUUUAUAAUUGGAACCAUACUUCAGCACAAUGUUAUCACGCAUUGUAUUCCGUGUUUUCCACAGAUAAAGCUUUUCCUCCCACAAGACGCCUGGAUUUAGAUAGAGCUUGCAUUCUGGAGUCAGACUGCCUGGGUUCAAAUCCCUGUUCCCCCACCCGCGAUUGACAAUCUUGGGCAACUCUGUGCCCUCUCUAUGCCUCGGUUCUCUCCUCUGCAAAACGGCGAUGGUAAUAACAUAGGUGAUAUUGGUAGCAGUAACAAUAAUAUGUCCCGUGGGGGUUAAAGAGUAUAAUAUAUACAUUCAAUAAAUCAUGGCUAUUAAUAGACUUACUUUUCAUCUUCCGUGAGCUCCUACUAGAAUGCAGACAAUUCCAAGCAGUUUAAUCCUACUGCUUGUAUAGACUGAUUUCUGGGAUCAUCCCUGAUACAGGAUAGUUGUUGUAACAUCUAUAGUUGGAAGUAUUACAUCCACACAGUCCUAUAACUUAGAUCUCAUAAGACUCAUUGCUUGUUUUUUAUUACACUUCCUUUCCAAACCACUUAAAAGGAAGAAGGUAUGUGUGCUUUCUUGACACUUCUUUGUUCAGAAAACGGACCUUUAUAGUAUUACUUCUAAUCACCAUAAAGCUGCCAUACGGGUGUUAUAAUCCCCAUUUGGCUGUUGAGGACAUUGAGUCUCAAAGUGAAGUUAAAUAGCUUGUGUUCGGACAGCUGGUAACUAGCUAAAUCAGGGUUUGAACCCAAGUCUCUGACCAAGACUUUGCCCAGGCCCCUAAUUCAAGCUGCCUGACAUCCCACCUCACAUCAAUGAGUAGCUGUGCUUUGGUUGACACUAGUCUUUCGAUUUUCUAGAUGAGGUUUUGGAAAGUUACCAAAGAUUGUGACAUUUCCAACUUCAGUAUCUUAUCUGGUAGGCAUCUUGCAUUAAAGAGCAAUCUAAGAAGCUGCUCCUUCUUCACGGAGGCAGAGAUUGCUAGCUGCCCACCAAAAAUUCAUAGGGGAGUUGAUGAACUGCUGCUCAGCUGAGGCUAUAUUUCCCAGCCUCCCUUGCAUCCAUACAUGGUCACGUGACUAGUUCUCUCUAAUGGAACAUGAGCAAAAAUAAUGGCCAGGAUGUUUAAAACUGGGUGUGCCUUCCCCACUUUGCCUUGCUGGAAGCAAAAGAUUCCAAGGCUCCAGUAGAUGGUGGACUCACUGGAGAAAAGGAGCCUGGGUCCCUGCAUCACCUUGAGGAAUGAAGCCACCCUCUGAUCAGGACAUUGGGCUGGUACAUGAGUAGGAAAUAAACUUGUAUUCUGCUAAGCCCCAGACAUUAGAGGGUGCUCUUGUUAUAGCAGCAAGUACUGCCCUCACUAAUACAUACAGCUUAUACUAAGUCAUAUUUACUCAUAAAAGCAACAUUGAAGAUUAUAACAACUAUCUGAAUAGGUGAUACCAAAAACGCCAUUUUUUUUAAUUAUUAUUUCCUGUCUACUUACUUAUAUAAGGAGACAGCAGAGUCUGUGGAGCCAGUUUUUCCUUUAAUUUUUUCUCCUCAGUUACAUGUAUCAGAGGAGUAUAGAGUGGUCAUAAGACGGUAAACAAUAAAUUUACUCAUUUAACUAUUCAAUAUAUGUCUUAUUUUCUGAGUGCAUGCCAGGUAUCUGGGGCUGAGGGUGUCCCGGAACAACACAAGAAUGGUCUCAUCUUCGUGAAGCUCCCAGUCUGUGGGUACUCAACACAAUUAACAGCAGUCAUCUGACCUCUGGCCACCAGACUUCUUGGGAGCACUGAGGCUAUUUGAAUGUGAAAUAGAUACCUAAAAU
Molecule: long non-coding RNA, 3952 nt
Organism: Pipistrellus kuhlii (Kuhl's pipistrelle)
Lineage: Eukaryota; Metazoa; Chordata; Mammalia; Chiroptera; Vespertilionidae
Exons: 2
Source: RefSeq, a predicted model, not a curated record